AGUGAAUGCUGGCGGUAGGCCUAACACAUGCAAGUCGAACGGCAGCACGGUAAGAGCUUGCUCUUACGGGUGGCGAGUGGCGGACGGGUGAGGAAUACAUCGGAAUCUACUUUUUCGUGGGGGAUAACGUAGGGAAACUUACGCUAAUACCGCAUACGACCUACGGGUGAAAGCAGGGGAUCUUCGGACCUUGCGCGAUUGAAUGAGCCGAUGUCGGAUUAGCUAGUUGGCGGGGUAAAGGCCCACCAAGGCGACGAUCCGUAGCUGGUCUGAGAGGAUGAUCAGCCACACUGGAACUGAGACACGGUCCAGACUCCUACGGGAGGCAGCAGUGGGGAAUAUUGGACAAUGGGCGCAAGCCUGAUCCAGCCAUACCGCGUGGGUGAAGAAGGCCUUCGGGUUGUAAAGCCCUUUUGUUGGGAAAGAAAAGCAGCAGGUUAAUACCCCGCUGUUCUGACGGUACCCAAAGAAUAAGCACCGGCUAACUUCGUG
RNAcentral lists this ribosomal RNA (492 nucleotides) under uncultured bacterium. Its description in RNAcentral is "partial 16S ribosomal RNA". It matches the Rfam family "Bacterial small subunit ribosomal RNA", at positions 29 to 507 of the family's 1533-position model. The record is from RNAcentral.